RNAcentral lists this unclassified non-coding RNA (181 nucleotides) under soil metagenome. RNAcentral's name for it is "partial internal transcribed spacer 1". The record is from RNAcentral.
CCGAGUUUACAACUCCCAAACCCAAUGUGAACAUUACCAAACUGUUGCCUCGGCGGGGUCACGCCCCGGGUGCGUAGAAGCCCCGGAACCAGGCGCCCGCCGGAGGACCAACCAAACUCUUUCUGUAGUCCCCUCGCGGACGUAUUUCUUACAGCUCUGAGCAAAAAUUCAAAAUGAAUCA